UGAAGGUGUUAGGAUAGUAUAUGGAG
This 26-nucleotide non-coding RNA is filed under the name Mus musculus (house mouse). Lineage: Eukaryota; Metazoa; Chordata; Mammalia; Rodentia; Muridae. The record is from RNAcentral.